GAUGAAGAACGCAGCGAAAUGCGAUAAGUAAUGUGAAUUGCAGAAUUCAGUGAAUCAUCGAAUCUUUGAACGCACAUUGCGCCCGCCAGUAUUCUGGCGGGCAUGCCUGUCCGAGCGUCAUUUCAACCCUCGAACCCCUCCGGGGGGUCGGCGUUGGGGAUCGGCCCUGCCUUUGGCGGUGGCCGUCUCCGAAAUACAGUGGCGGUCUCGCCGCAGCCUCUCCUGCGCAGUAGUUUGCACACUCGCAUCGGGAGCGCGGCGCGUCCACAGCCGUUAAACCCCCAACUUCUGAAAUGUUGACCUCGGAUCAGGUAGGAAUACCCGCUGAACUUAAGCAUAUCAAUAAGCGGAGGA
This 354-nucleotide unclassified non-coding RNA is filed under the name soil metagenome. RNAcentral's name for it is "partial contains 5.8S ribosomal RNA, internal transcribed spacer 2, and large subunit ribosomal RNA". The stretch from base 1 to 120 matches the Rfam family "5.8S ribosomal RNA", at positions 35 to 154 of the family's 154-position model. The record is from RNAcentral.